GUUAAAAUGCCUAAAAUAAUACAAAAUCAAAGUUUCAAAAUUUGAAUUUUAAAUAUAUUUUUAAUUUCGGAAAUCUGAUUAUCGAAUUUCGGCCAAUCCGUAUAUUUUUACACUGGGUUACCUGACUGUGCGAGGUAAUCGAUGAUUACUUAUAAUUUUAUAGAUUAUAGGGUCUAGAUAGGAGUUUAGAUAAUAAAGGCCACAGAUAUUAUUUUUAUUUAGACAUUUUUUUUCGGACAGGGAGAAGAGGGUGUUGAAUAUCCCAUACCUAAGACACACCUCUGAUAAGGUUAAAUCAAUAAUGGUUACAGAAAAAAUAUCCAAGUAAUUAUUUAUGUUUAAACAUUUCGUCCUUGUAAUCUAUUUUAAAAUGUAUAGUUUAUGUAAUAUGUGAUUUAUCUAUUAUUAUAAGUUUUUUUUUAUCACCGUAUAACAAAAAAAAAAAAAACCUAUACGAUGUAUAAGGUUUAUGUAAUUUUAUGAGAUAGUGGAAAACUUCUUUUUAAAUCCAGUACCUACCUAUUAUAGCAAUAAUAAUAUUGCUUAAAAUAUCCACAAUACGACUGCGGGUGUAUACAUACUUGUACCUAUAAUAUCUUGUAACGUCCAAAAAUGACCAUUUUCCGUUAUCAAAGAACAAGCAUACAUACAAUCCAUAUGGUCGACCGGUUAAUAGAUUACGCUCGCGUCGACGAAUAUGUUAUGUCAUCAUGAACAAUAAUUCCUCUCCCCCCCUGCGCAAAGGUUUAUGCGAUCGCGAUCUUUUGCAAUUCGCAAUAACGGCCAAUCAGAUCACGUUUCCUCUUAUCGCCAAAAACGUCGGCCCCCGGCGACGUGUGUGUCACGAACGUCUCCGCACUCCGCUAACCAGUUUCAUUUAUUCGUUCGUUUCCUUUGUUCUUCGCGUCCAGACCUCUUCUCGAGACUUCCGUCACCGGACGGUCUUUCGAUACAGUUCUUUUGCUAAAAACACGCCCGUACUGUACGGAUUCGCAUAUUUUGCCAUCAAGAAAAGGUCGUGUACCUUGGCACGUUUUCUGACGGUGCCUCAAACGAACCGAUGAAGUGACUGGCCCGCCGGGCGGACAUCUUCGGGCGAGACAAAUGGUAAUAUACAUGUGAUUUAAUAAUUGGCCGAUACCCCGUUAGUUUUAAGGUAGUUGAGUUAAUGUCCCCCGUAUAAAUAUUUUUAUCUAGAAUGUUUUUUUUCUCUUUUCUCUCGUAUGUUAAAUUCGUAUACGAUUAAAUAUCUUAUGUUAAACACUUCCGUUAUACCUACGGGGAUCAACCAGCGUCUAUUAGGUUUGUGUGUCUGUCUCAUUGUAAUAAUCCCCGCGUUCCGCAUCCUAUGUGCGAUAGGCUAAAUCCCUCACCCCCGCAUUUUGUUUUUUUAUUUUUAUUUUUAUUCCCUUUAAGCACUAUGUUAUUAUAUAUAUAUAUAUACAUUUUAAAUAUAUGUUGUUUGGAUAUAUGUGUCUAUCAUUCUAUGUAUGUAUACCUAUGGAAAAUCGUACCUACUAUUCACUUUCAGUUGACAGUUUUUAUGCCCAUGGGCUUUUCUGUCACAUCAACGUAACAUUACUUUUAUUUGACGAUUAACGAGUUAAUAAAAUAAUUCUUUAUUUUCCC
This is a non-coding RNA of Cinara cedri, 1629 nucleotides long. Lineage: Eukaryota; Metazoa; Arthropoda; Insecta; Hemiptera; Aphididae. The record is from the annotation of a GenBank genome assembly.